Molecule: long non-coding RNA, 487 nt
Filed under: Elaeis guineensis (African oil palm)
Lineage: Eukaryota; Viridiplantae; Streptophyta; Magnoliopsida; Arecales; Arecaceae
Description: long non-coding RNA (EGUI_LNC004482)
Source: RNAcentral
ACUAAUUGGGGAAAAAAUUGCUUAGGAGUAGUAGUAAACAAAUGAAUCAACAGCAAUAAAAUAAAUUAUAUCAAUGAGAUUAUUUGGUGCUCAUGAAGCUCCAGCUCUCAGAAUAUUAUAUACCGAAGCUCAAAGCUAUAAUCUGUUUUGAUUGUUAAAAAGAAAACUAUAAUAAUAAUAAAGCUUUCAUCUUUGAAAGAACAACAAAUACAACCUGGCAACCUGAACCAAUGGUUAAAUUGGUCGACAUAAUACAACCUCAAACAUACUCAAAAAUAGAACCCUAACAAAGCAAUAGAAAUUAUGAACAAAAAGAGCAGCAGAAAGAUUACAAGAUUCAAAUCUUUAGAGAAAAAUCAGGCCAAUAUUUGACGUCCGAGCACAUGCGGAUCUUCAUAUAUUUCUUCCAUUUAAGUUCCAGCAUUCUUAUUAGGCUAAAGGUCCAAAUCCAGUCAUAAAUAUCAUAUUAGCUUCAUGAUCAACCCAA